AUAAGAAAAGCCAGUGCUCACUACAAUUGGAAUGAUACAGAGAAGAUUAGCAUAGCCCCUGUACAAGGAUGACACACAAAUUAGUGAAAUGUUCCAUAUUUUG
Molecule: small nuclear RNA, 103 nt
Organism: Pipistrellus kuhlii (Kuhl's pipistrelle)
Lineage: Eukaryota; Metazoa; Chordata; Mammalia; Chiroptera; Vespertilionidae
Source: RefSeq, a predicted model, not a curated record